AUGUACCUGUAAACAUUGAAAUUUUAUCAGAUUUACCUGUCUAAAUUUUAGCUUAUCGCCUAUAAAAAGGGACAAAUAUGUACUUGAAAAAGCAUCUCAAAUAUCACAUAUAAACUCUUUGAUAUAUUUACAAAGAGAUCAUGACUGACGUUUCACGAUCAAAUAAUCGCAAAAAGAUUGAAUUAUCCUGCGUUCGAGAGUUUGAAAAUUUAUUGCAUACAGUACCGUUUUGCGAAGAAAUUGCUUCAGGCUGCGAAGACGAUGCAAUCGAACGAAUCUCCACCGUCGAAUUACGAAUAUCUGGCGUAGGAUAAAGAAAAUCGGCGCAGGAUAAACAAUCAGCGUAGGAUAGAGAAUCGUCAAGUGGAUAUUGAAGCCAAGAGUUCAUCAUUUCAUCCUCUUGUAUAAAUAGUGGAGCUGAAGCUGUUACUGUUUCUUCAAUGGCUGAUUGUUGCUCGGAAGAAAGGGGGGAAGCAUUUGAUCCAAGAAAAUUUGAAGCGGCAGUGCAGCACAUGGGUUUAUAUUUUUGAGGUUACAAGUGGGAAUACCCCCUAUUAUAUUUAUUCAAUCAUAAAUUGUUGGGAAUCUGGAUGCUAUUACCAAACAACAUAACGACAUCAGUCUCAUGAAGAGUCAUUAAUCGUGCUAUACAAGUUAUGUCCUACACUAGAUAUUUAUAUUUGUUUCUUUCUUUUGUUUGGAUUUUCGCCAAACUAUAUCCAAAAGAGUUGCCUACCUCUUGAACCUAUGUAUCUAGGAAGACUUUGGACUCAUUUGGUUGCACUUAUUGGAGGUCUAAAUCUGACUGGUUCAGACCUUAGGCUAUUAAGUUCAUUUGUUUGCAUUAAGAUCUAAACACUUAUUGAGCCUGGAUAGGUCUUAAUCAUUAAGAUUUUAAACCAAGUCUUAAUAUCAUUAAGAGGUAUUCUUCUA
Molecule: long non-coding RNA, 933 nt
Organism: Lycium barbarum (goji berry)
Lineage: Eukaryota; Viridiplantae; Streptophyta; Magnoliopsida; Solanales; Solanaceae
Exons: 3
Source: RefSeq, a predicted model, not a curated record